Molecule: ribosomal RNA, 253 nt
Filed under: uncultured bacterium
Lineage: Bacteria
Description: partial 16S ribosomal RNA
Rfam family: Bacterial small subunit ribosomal RNA
Source: RNAcentral
UACGUAGGGGGCAAGCGUUGUCCGGAUUUAUUGGGCGUAAAGAGCGUGUAGGCGGCCAGACAGGUCCGUUGUGAAAACUGGAGGCUCAACCUCCAGACGUCGAUGGAAACCGUCUGGCUAGAGUCCGGAAGAGGAGAGUGGAAUUCCUGGUGUAGCGGUGAAAUGCGCAGAUAUCAGGAAGAACACCCGUGGCGAAAGCGGCUCUCUGGGACGGUACUGACGCUGAGGAGCGAAAGCAUGGGGAGCGAACAGG